This is a long non-coding RNA of Stegostoma tigrinum, 927 nucleotides long. RefSeq lists it as uncharacterized. The record is from RefSeq and is a predicted model, not a curated record. Lineage: Eukaryota; Metazoa; Chordata; Chondrichthyes; Orectolobiformes; Stegostomatidae. The transcript is spliced from 2 exons.
AGUUACCUGAGCCCUAGCUGCUGGCUUGAGUCGGUUUGAGCUGGUUCAGCUCUUAUUUGGUAGAAAAGUAAUGAGGUAACCCUAAAGGUGUCCUUGGAGUGAGCCAAUAGUAGAAAGACACCACUCUCAGAUGAGCUGAGGAGCCAACAAGGAAAAGACACCGCAGUUUGUGAAGAUAAGGAAAAAGGAUAAAAAUGAAGGAUUUCAGUGUGCCAUCAGCAGCAACUCCAGACAGCAACAUUUGCAAAGUGGAACUCUGCGCUUGGGAGUGUGGAUAAGACCCCCAAGUCCUGGAAGAGAUGCUCAGUCAGAGAGAGCUUCUAUUCUCAGGUAACCAUCAUACCGUUAACCAUGGACGCACCAUAUCCUGUUGUACAGUGGUUCCUGCAAUCAGAGGUCCAGAGAUUCUGUCCCAAGCAAUUCUGUGAUGCAGGACUCUGUGCUGGUUGGUCUGUUCCCCGGGACACACACACUGAAACAAGCAUCACCUACAUCCGGGAGGACCAUCAACUUGGUGAGAAGUGCUCUUUGGUUUUCCCCAAGUUUGUUGGUGUUCCAGAACAAGGAGUUGACCCCAACUGGAUGUUGCAUGCCGGCACAUUCCAAGGUCCAGGGCUACGUGCUGAGGGACGCACUAAAGUUUGGGGCAGCUGUCGCCAAGGGGCAGUGGGGAAAGUUCAGUGUCAGAAGUCCUUCUGCUGAAGUCAGUCGGGUGUCCAUUCAUUUUUCAUACCCUCCUAGUGCCUCAGGACAUGUAAUUAUAUUAUUUUACUUGUAAAAGAUGCCUUUGGUUUUUGGGUAUGUUCAAACUCCAAUGUUUGUUUGUUUCUUUGACACUCUAUUGUACAGACCAGAAUUGCGUUUGUGACUAUGUACAUAUUCAAAGAUUACUUUUAUGAAUAAAACAUAUUUGUGAAAUAAAAGAAA